RNAcentral lists this ribosomal RNA (407 nucleotides) under uncultured bacterium. RNAcentral describes it as "partial 16S ribosomal RNA". It matches the Rfam family "Bacterial small subunit ribosomal RNA", at positions 28 to 526 of the family's 1533-position model. The record is from RNAcentral.
GACGAACGCUGGCGGCGUGCCUAAUACAUGCAAGUAGAACGCAGUUGCGAACGGGUGAGUAACGCGUAGGUAACUGCCUGGUAGCGGGGGAUAACUAUUGGAAACGAUAGCUAAUAACGCAUACUGCUAGAUGGACCUGCGUUGUAUUAGCUAGUUGGGGGGGGAACGGCUUACCAAGGCGACGAUACAUAGCCGACCUGAGAGGGGGUUCGGCCAACCUGGGACUGAGAACCGGCCCAGAAUCCUACGGGAGGCAGCAGUAGGGAAUCUUCGGCAAUGGACGGAAGUCUGACCGAGCAACGCCGCGUGAGUGAAGAAGGUUUUCGGAUCGUAAAGCUCUGUUGUAAGAGAAGCGGUAUCUUACCAGAAAGGGACGGCUAACUACGUGCCAGCAGCCGCGGUAAUAC